This 393-nucleotide ribosomal RNA is filed under the name uncultured bacterium. RNAcentral's name for it is "bacterial SSU rRNA". It matches the Rfam family "Bacterial small subunit ribosomal RNA", at positions 30 to 424 of the family's 1533-position model. The record is from RNAcentral.
AUUGAACGCUGGCGGCAUGCCUUACACAUGCAAGUCGAACGGCAGCACGGGAGCAAUCCUGGUGGCGAGUGGCGAACGGGUGAGUAAUAUAUCGGAACGUGCCCAGUCGUGGGGAUAACGUAGCGAAAGCUACGCUAAUACCGCAUACGAUCUAUGGAUGAAAGUGGGGGAUCGCAAGACCUCGCGCGAUUGGAGCGGCCGAUAUCAGAUUAGGUAGUUGGUGAGGUAAAGGCUCACCAAGCCGACGAUCUGUAGCUGGUCUGAGAGGACGACCAGCCACACUGAGACUGAGACAGGCCCAGACUCCUACGGGAGGCAGCAGUGGGGAAUUUUUGGACAAUGGGCGCAAGCCUGAUCCAGCAAUGCCGCGUGCAGGAUGAAGGCCUUCGGGUU